Molecule: unclassified non-coding RNA, 686 nt
Filed under: uncultured Prochlorococcus sp.
Lineage: Bacteria; Bacillati; Cyanobacteriota; Cyanophyceae; Synechococcales; Prochlorococcaceae
Description: partial may contain 16S ribosomal RNA, 16S-23S ribosomal RNA intergenic spacer, and 23S ribosomal RNA
Rfam family: Bacterial small subunit ribosomal RNA (bases 1-98)
Source: RNAcentral
AACCCUUGUGGAGGAGGACGCCGAAGGUGGGGCUAAUGACUGGGGUGAAGUCGUAACAAGGUAGCCGUACCGGAAGGUGCGGCUGGAUCACCUCCUAACAGGGAGACAACAAAAUGUUAAAUAUUAAUUUUGUCACCUUAGGUCGAUCGGUAUCUCACAUUCUUAAUUUAUUAAGAAUUUUAUUUCCUAAGUUUUUUCUAGGUCACACCCAUUAUUUUCCCUGGGCCAUUAGCUCAGGUGGUUAGAGCGCACCCCUGAUAAGGGUGAGGUCCCUGGUUCAAGUCCAGGAUGGCCCAUAUCUCUAUGUUGGGGGUAUAGCUCAGUUGGUAGAGCGCCUGCUUUGCAAGCAGGAUGUCAGCGGUUCGAGUCCGCUUACCUCCACUGAUUACCACCUCUUCCAUAAUUUAAAGAAGGGAAAUUAUUGAGUUAUGAUCAAAUUCUGAACGAAUCUAGCUUCCUAAUAAUCUUAUUAAGAUGCUGGACUCAUUGAAUUAAUUUUCAUUGUUUUCAGAGAACCUUGACAACUGCAUAGAUUAUUUUUAAAGACAAUAAGCAUCUUUAAUGAUGCAGAUUUUUUAUUUGUGCGAAUGCAUUAAAUAACAAUUCUAUUAAGCUGAUGCUUCAAAUUUAUUGAAGUUAUUGGUCAAGCUACAAAGGGCUCACGGAGGAUACCUAGGCACACAGAG